Molecule: ribosomal RNA, 360 nt
Filed under: uncultured Alphaproteobacteria bacterium
Lineage: Bacteria; Pseudomonadati; Pseudomonadota; Alphaproteobacteria
Description: bacterial SSU rRNA
Rfam family: Bacterial small subunit ribosomal RNA
Source: RNAcentral
CACGUGGGAACUUGUCCUUAGGUGGGGAACAACCGCUGGAAACGGCGGCUAAUACCGCAUGAUCCCUGAGGGGCAAAGGCUUCGGCCGCCUAAGGAGGGGCCCGCGUCCGAUUAGCUUGUUGGUGGGGUAAUGGCCUACCAAGGCUUCGAUCGGUAGCUGGUCUGAGAGGACGAUCAGCCACACUGGGACUGAGACACGGCCCAGACUCCUACGGGAGGCAGCAGUGGGGAAUAUUGGACAAUGGGGGAAACCCUGAUCCAGCAAUGCCGCGUGAGUGAUGAAGGCCUUAGGGUUGUAAAGCUCUUUCGCCUGAGACGAUGAUGACGGUAUCAGGAGAAGAAGCCCCGGCUAAUUCCGUG